UGCUAAAGAGGGGUAUUUAGAGUAUGCAGAGGCUCUUUGCUUUGAGAGGCUGCACAAUAGUUCAGUUCAGGAGUCUCAAUGUCGUCCAGGAGGAUGGCAACAGAUGGAGGAGCUGCUUCUGCUUAUUUUAUUUUGGAUAUAAAUAUACCAUGUCAAAUUCAAAUGUAAUUUCUUUUUUUUUUUACACAUUGCCUGUAGCCAUAUAAUAUGUUUUACACUGGGAGCAACACUUUGGUUUGCUAGGGGUUGGUGUAUGUCUUUUUUUAUUGCACUGAAAGAGUUCUGCAUGGGCAUAAAACUGAGACCUGAAUCCAGCCCGUACGGGCGCCUUUUGGACCCAAUGCAACUUGGAUAUUUCUUCUUCAAAGAUAAAGUUAUAUGCUUGCUUUGAAAGUCUUUCUCACUUACAGUAAAUAACUAAUCUGACUACUGACUAAUACACACAUUGCGGUCUAGCAUCUAAAAAACAAAAUGUUUUUUGCCUUACUGGUUGGUAGAUCAACUUUGCAUAUCUACUUCUGGCACGCAUCAACAAAGACGAUUGACAGUCAGAAAGAGAAAAUAUAUUUUUUGUUUAAAUUAUAUUUGAGAAUAAUAAUCCAACCCCAACCCAAAUAUUUAUGGAAAAAAACACAUCCUGAACCCAACAUGACAUGUGAAUCAUUGUCAAGUUCAGGCCAGGUUUCUAAACUUUAACUAGAGAGGAUCCGGUUAAGUAGUAAAUGCUUGUAUAAUUACAUAAUCUGAAAUUUGAACUCUGCAGUAAUUUCUAUUUGGUGUUUAUACUCCAAAUGAUUCGGUAUUUUUGACACAGUACAUCCUGGCUAUUUUGAACAGGAAGCCAGUGAAAUGUUAUGGCUCAUCCCUGUUGUGUAACACCAUCUCUGUCUUGUUAAGAGAGGUUAUGGUGGCCUUCAGAGUAAGAAAAUUACGAGUCUAGGAGAGCGAUACUGUAAAUUAAAAAAGGUGGCUUCACCUCAACAAAGAGACGACAGGCCCUAAUAAGUAAUAAGGAGCAGCGAAGAAUUAAAGUCCUCGAUUAUUCUCCAACGUCUCACAGCUGUAAAAGAAAAGAGCCAAGGAGAGAAAAUGGAGAUUAUGGAGAUAAAGAAUGGUAAACAUUGUGAUAAAAACUGAGUCCAUAGGCAAAUUCAAUGUGGCUCCAACCUACAGUAUUAAUGAGGGAUGAGAUUUUCUAUAGAUAUACCCAAGAUAAAAUAUGCAAGAAGAUGAAAAUCAAAAGUUCCCAGCAACAAGCCUGCCUUAAAUUUUUUUGGAAAGACCGUUGUUUGAGCUCUUCUCUUCCCUGGCAUCUGUCUUGGCCCUGGCAAUAAUCUGCUAAUUUUAAGAUUCCAUUGUUGGGUGGGCUGUAAGGAUUCAUCCUCAAGUGUUCACUCGCCUUCGCUUCUCCAGUAAGAUUACUCACGACAUAACAGGUUUUUUAAUAUGCUUGGUAUACUUUUGAUCUGCAGGCCCAAACGGCUUCUCUGGCUUCCUCUUUCAUAGUCAUCCACCAGGUUUCUCUUCGCUCAUUAAAGGGGACCGGAUGGUACUUAGCAGCUCUUGGAUUAGCGGUCUGCAGAAAAGAGAGAGAAGUGAGAUUUGCAAUUGCAUGUGCGUAAAGUGGCUGCUAUUUAGCUGUGUCUUAAAUACAGUACACCAUAGAGACUUCUUCUUCUGCUACUGCUCUGGAUCUCUGCCACCUUCACAGCAACAUAAUUAUGCUGUAAAAUGGGGAUAUCAUGGGAAGCAGCAUGAAGAGGAAAAUGUUAUUGGUUUAAAAGAAAAAAGUGGGGCAGGUAACUGGUUGGUAACAUGAUAACAUAGUUGAGACCAAAAUGUAUUUUGGCGUAAAAUGUUGCUAAUCAGUUCCCAAAGCAGGAAAAAAACAAAUCCUGAGACAAGCUUUUAAAUUGUGUUUGAUGCAGACGUGUUAUUCUUCUGAUGAACUUCUGCGGCGUGAGUUACCAAUGAUCCUCUGUUGAAUUAGCAUUAGCAUUCCACUCACAAGCAUCAACAACACAGAGAAUAAUUUAGUUCAGUUGUGCUAAAUGUAUCAAGACAAUACAUAAGUUAAAGGUACCAUGUGGAGUUUUUGACCCUUAGUGCUAUGGGCAAGUUUUUUUUAGGAGUGGGUCCGGUUUCCUGCAUGUGUACUCGGGCGAUGAUCUUCCUGAGGCAGUAAUGUAACAAUGCACCAACAAACAGAGACGAAUAAGAGUGCAAGCUACUGUAGCAAAAAAUUGAUGUAAACAAUGCAGGAUUUAAAAUACUUUAUACCUCAAGGAUGCACUGCACACACAAUGUGUUUUGGUGAGUAAGUAAUUUUAUUUAUACAUCAACUUUCAAUUGUAGACCUCACAAAAUGCUUUACAAUAAAAGACAAAAGAGCAAAAAAAUCAUGUGAAAGAAAACAAAAAUUUUAUGUAAUGUAAACAUAACACCAAAUUAAAACAGGAACAGAUCUGAAACACAGGGACACUUUUUACUAAAAUGUGAUGAAUUGUAACUAUAAUGGAAAAUAAAGGUCUGUCUCUUAAAUAGGCAUAUUUAUAAAAAUAAAUAAAAAAAACGUUUAGUUAUUAAUGCGACUGAGGUAAUUGAAGAUGCCACGAAAGAUCUAAGAAUCUACACCUUGAAUAGGCUUCAUAUUGUAAUUUUGCUACUGCUACUUCUGUCUACUCUGCAAACACAAUGCUAUUGUAUGUCCGUCCUGGAAGAAGGAUCCCUCCUCUUGCUCUUACUAGGGUUUCUCAUUCAUUUUUUCCUGCUUUUUUUACUAUCCGAAAGGAGCAUAUUGUAAAGCUCUCUGAAACAUUUUUGAUUUUGGACUGUAGAAUGAAAUGUACUUGUAACUUAACUUGAUGUCACUGACCCACCAACUGUAUCUUCCUGUCUUAAUGGUUUUUCAGUAGACUGUCCUUAUUAAUGAUUAAUGAUUUUCAGCUACCAACUUGUGUUUUGUUUCUCGUUGUCUUGCUUGAAAAUGCUCACUCACACACAUACACCAUAAUGGACUAGCUGACCAGGUGGCCCAGCUCUCUGUCACACUGACUUCUUAUUUCAAGAUGAUUGUCUGUCCCAAUCUGAUGCACUCUCAAACCCUCAGUGACCUCAAAGAACCUGCUUCCUCCAACAUGGCCCAAUUUUCCAAGUGGCUACACAGUGGUUAGCUAAAAUCACAGAUGAUAAGCCAGAGAGAAAAAGAAAUGUCUGGACAAAUCGAGCACAGUAGGUGGAAACGAAAUGUCAGACUCAUCUUGUGUGCCGAUGCUCCUGCCCUGACCUUGGCAACAAUAGAUUCCUUUGUUCUGUAUCAUGAAUAUCAUCUCUUUGCCAAGCAGUCUUGAAUUGUGGUGGAAAUAUAAUGAAAGUAGCAGGAAGAAUGAGGAAGAGGAAGGGAGAAAAGAGAAGCCCACAGACUGUCUGGCAUGCUGGGAAGGUCUUAAUUGUCUAACCUCAAGACCUUUUUUUAAAUCAACCAAUAAUUGAAUGGUCUUUGUG
Sander lucioperca (pikeperch) is the source of this 3504-nucleotide long non-coding RNA. RefSeq lists it as uncharacterized. NCBI's taxonomy places the organism in Eukaryota, Metazoa, Chordata, Actinopteri, Perciformes, Percidae. The record is from RefSeq and is a predicted model, not a curated record. The transcript has 2 exons.